CCUACGGGAGGCAGCAGUGAGGAAUAUUGGUCAAUGGGCGCGAGCCUGAACCAGCCAAGUAGCGUGAAGGAUGACUGCCCUACGGGUUGUAAACUUCUUUUAUAAAGGAAUAAAGUGAGGCACGUGUGCCUUUUUGUAUGUACUUUAUGAAUAAGGGUCGGAUAAUUCUGUGCCAUCAGCCGCGGUAAUACGGAGGAACCGAGCGUUAUCCGGAUUUAUUGGGUUUAAAGGGAGCGUAGAUGGGUUGUUAAGUCAGUUGUGAAAGUUUGCGGCUCAAACGUAAAAUUGCAAUUGAUACUGGCAGUCUUGAGUACAGUUGAGGUAGGCGGAAUUCGUGGUGUAGCGGUGAAAUGCUUAGAUAUCACGAAGAACUCCGAUUGCGAAGGCAGCUUACUAAACUGCCACUGACAUUGAUGCUCGAAAGUGUGGGUAUCAAACAGGAUUAGAUACCCGAGUAGUC
This 460-nucleotide ribosomal RNA is filed under the name uncultured bacterium. RNAcentral describes it as "partial 16S ribosomal RNA". It matches the Rfam family "Bacterial small subunit ribosomal RNA", at positions 338 to 795 of the family's 1533-position model. The record is from RNAcentral.